GGCUGUAGCUCAGUGGUAGAGCUCUGGCCUCGCAUGUGUGAGGCACUGGGUUCUAUCCUCAGCACCA
This 67-nucleotide transfer RNA is filed under the name Marmota monax (woodchuck). RNAcentral's name for it is "tRNA.Ala". Lineage: Eukaryota; Metazoa; Chordata; Mammalia; Rodentia; Sciuridae. The record is from RNAcentral.